This 403-nucleotide unclassified non-coding RNA is filed under the name fungal sp. Its description in RNAcentral is "partial internal transcribed spacer region". The stretch from base 1 to 46 matches the Rfam family "Eukaryotic small subunit ribosomal RNA", at positions 1786 to 1831 of the family's 1831-position model. Lineage: Eukaryota; Fungi. The record is from RNAcentral.
AAGUCGUAACAAGGUUUCCGUAGGUGAACCUGCGGAAGGAUCAUUAACACGUAUCCAAACGUUAAAACAACCCUGUGAAUAUUGAAUCUCAGUUCCCCCAGGGCGGACCACCGAUCGUUGACUGCGCUGCCCUUGCACAAUUCACCAAACACUUUCAGAUUGAUGGUUGCUUGGGGGCACCAGGAGUGGAUAGUUGUAAACGCUCGACCCAAUACAGGUGCUACUCGUGCGCCAUCCUCUAACUCAAAACCUUGUUAAGACAAUGAUUUACUAGAGGAAGCCCAUUUUUCUGCCUGUGGGGCCUAGUUCAUUCAGGUUGAACAUGAUGCAUGUCUACCGCGCCCGACGAAAGUCCGACGCACCCCUAACCGAACAACUGUUAACAAUGGAUAUCUUGGUUCUC